Mytilus trossulus (common blue mussel) is the source of this 411-nucleotide long non-coding RNA. RefSeq lists it as uncharacterized. The record is from RefSeq and is a predicted model, not a curated record. The transcript has 3 exons. NCBI's taxonomy places the organism in Eukaryota, Metazoa, Mollusca, Bivalvia, Mytilida, Mytilidae.
CGACAGUCCACCACCCUCUGACAAUGGACUGGAAUGUAUAGGAUCUUACACGGAGGCAAUUAAUUGUAGUUUAAUAGCAUGUCCAGAACCGUACAGAAGAAGAGGAUGUAAAAGACGACACAGAAGAGGAAGAAAAUAGAAAGUCUUAUAUCAUUGCUGAUUGAAUUCCAGAGAGGACACACUCAAAACAACUGACGUGUACAACAUGUUCUUGUUUAAAACAGAACUGUGCAAAAGUGCGGGGGAAAUUUGUUUUUUUGAUCAAUUAUAUAUUGAGGGAAUGUCACUAUUUAAAUGUUGAAAUAUGACUUAUGUAAUAAAAUUCGUUUCUUUCACGAACUGAUAUUUUGGGCAGAAUUUAACUGUAAAUGAGGUAACUAAACAAUUAUUGAAAUGUCAAUAAAAAUCAAA